AUUGAACGCUGGCGGCAUGCCUUACACAUGCAAGUCGAACGGCAGCACGGGAGCAAUCCUGGUGGCGAGUGGCGAACGGGUGAGUAAAGUAUCGGAACGUGCCCAGUCGUGGGGGAUAACGUAGCGAAAGUUACGCUAAUACCGCAUACGAUCUAUGGAUGAAAGCGGGGGAUCGCAAGACCUCGCGCGAUUGGAGCGGCCGAUAUCAGAUUAGGUAGUUGGUGGGGUAAAGGCUCACCAAGCCGACGAUCUGUAGCUGGUCUGAGAGGACGGCCAGCACGACUGGGGCUGAGACACGGCCCAGACUCCAACGGGAGGCAGCAGUGGGGAAUUUUGUACAAUGGGCGAAAGCCUUAUCCAGCCAUGCCGCGUGCAGGAUGAAGGCCUUCGGGUUGUAAACUGCUUUUGUACGGAACGAAAAGGUUUGGCCUAAUAAGCUGAGCUCAUGACGGUACCGUAAGAAUAAGCACCGGCUAACUACGUGCCAGCAGCCGCCGUAA
Molecule: ribosomal RNA, 500 nt
Filed under: uncultured bacterium
Lineage: Bacteria
Description: partial 16S ribosomal RNA
Rfam family: Bacterial small subunit ribosomal RNA
Source: RNAcentral